GUGCUUGCUUCAGCAGCAUAUAUACUAAAAUUGGAAUGAUACAGAGAAGGUUAUUAGCAUGGCCCCUGAGCAUGGAUGAUACACAAAUUUGUGAAGCAUUCCAUAUUUAA
Molecule: small nuclear RNA, 110 nt
Filed under: Catagonus wagneri (Chacoan peccary)
Lineage: Eukaryota; Metazoa; Chordata; Mammalia; Artiodactyla; Tayassuidae
Source: RNAcentral